GAUGAACGCUGGCGGCGUGCUUAACACAUGCAAGUCGAACGGAAAGGCCCAAGCUUGCUUGGGUACUCGAGUGGCGAACGGGUGAGUAACACGUGGGUGAUCUGCCCUGCACUUCGGGAUAAGCCUGGGAAACUGGGUCUAAUACCGGAUAGGACCACUUCUUGGAUGUUGUGGUGGAAAGUUUUUUCGGUGUGGGAUGAGCUCGCGGCCUAUCAGCUUGUUGGUGGGGUAAUGGCCUACCAAAGCGUCGACGGGUAGCCGGCCUGAGAGGGUGUACGGCCACAUUGGGACUGAGAUACGGCCCAGACUCCUACGGGAGGCAGCAGUGGGGAAUAUUGCACAAUGGGCGCAAGCCUGAUGCAGCGACGCCGCGUGGGGGAUGACGGCCUUCGGGUUGUAAACUCCUUUCGCUAGGGACGAAGCGUUUUGUGACGGUACCUGGAGAAGAAGCACCGGCUAACUACGUG
RNAcentral lists this ribosomal RNA (467 nucleotides) under uncultured bacterium. Its description in RNAcentral is "partial 16S ribosomal RNA". It matches the Rfam family "Bacterial small subunit ribosomal RNA", at positions 28 to 507 of the family's 1533-position model. The record is from RNAcentral.